GCCUUUCAAGCAACCAGAGAGCAUCUUAAAGACGGGUGUAUGAUUUCCUUUAGGAUAAAUGAUAUCCAACAGAUUCCAUUCAAAGCUGGCUCAUAGGAUAACAAGCCAAGCUCCAAGACUUAGAGGGGUCUGAGUCCUCUGUUGUCAGGCCUGGUGUGUCAGAAACCUGUUGAAGAAGACAUUAUUAUAUGUCCAUUUUACAGAUGAAGAAACAAGAGGUUCAAAGAGAUUAAAAGAUACAGCUAAAGUUACACAGCUAGUAAAUGGCACCACGUUAUCCUCCUUCCCAAUAGCUUCCACCAGAGCUUUACGAAAGAUAACUAAAGCAAAAAGAUAUCUUGGGACUUUCCUGGUGAUAUAGUGGUUAAGAAUCCGCCUGCCAGUGCAAGAGAGGUGGAUACGAGCUCUGGUCCGGGAAGAUCCCACGUGCUGUGGAUCAACUAAGCCCGUGCACCACAACUAUUGAGCCUGCACUCUGGAGCCCACGAGCCAUGACUACUGAAGCCCGUGCACCUAAAGCCCAUGCUCCGCCAUAAAGAGAAACCACCGCAAUGAAAAGCCCGCGCACCGCAAUGAAGAGUAGCCCCCGCUCGCCACAACUAGAGAAAGCCUGUGCGCAGCAACAAAGACCCAACGCAGCCAAAAAUAAGAAAUCCUUGGUGCUUUGGAAAACAGCUGACUGGAAGAAAUUUCCCAUCAGAUGGGAAUGAAGAGGUGCCGCUGCAGAGACAGAGCAAACCUAACCACACACGGCAGCAGCUCAUCAGAGCCAGAAGGCCCAAGGGAAAACAGCACUGGCCAGCGUGCUGACCGCAAACUUCAUGAGCAGGAUCCUUAAAGCACAACAAUGUAACAAACCUGGGUAGCUGGA
This is a long non-coding RNA of Globicephala melas (long-finned pilot whale), 871 nucleotides long. RefSeq lists it as uncharacterized. NCBI's taxonomy places the organism in Eukaryota, Metazoa, Chordata, Mammalia, Artiodactyla, Delphinidae. The record is from RefSeq and is a predicted model, not a curated record.